ACCCCAACAGCGGGAGAGUCCGGUUUCGAGCCGGCGCCGAAGGAGCAACCGCCCCGGAAACUCUCAGGCACCCGGACCGCUGUCGUACU
This 89-nucleotide non-coding RNA is filed under the name Devosia sp. Root413D1. RNAcentral's name for it is "Glycine riboswitch aptamer". It matches the Rfam family "Glycine riboswitch aptamer". Rfam says of the family: This family represents the bacterial glycine riboswitch. Glycine riboswitches usually consist of two metabolite-binding aptamers domains with similar structures in tandem. RNAcentral also lists the same sequence under 1 other name. Lineage: Bacteria; Pseudomonadati; Pseudomonadota; Alphaproteobacteria; Hyphomicrobiales; Devosiaceae. The record is from Rfam by way of RNAcentral.